RNAcentral lists this ribosomal RNA (253 nucleotides) under uncultured bacterium. RNAcentral describes it as "partial 16S ribosomal RNA". It matches the Rfam family "Bacterial small subunit ribosomal RNA", at positions 524 to 776 of the family's 1533-position model. The record is from RNAcentral.
GACAGAGGGGGCAAGCGUUGCUCGGAAUCACUGGGCGUAAAGGGCGCGUAGGCGGGAUGGCAAGUCAGUCGUGAAAUCUCUCGGCUCAACCGAGAAACGUCGGCUGAUACUGCCGUUCUUGAGGGAUGCAGAGGAGACUGGAAUUCCCGGUGUAGCGGUGAAAUGUGUAGAGAUCGGGAGGAACACCGGUGGCGAAGGCGGGUCUCUGGGCAUCUCCUGACGCUGAGGAGCGAAAGCAUGGGGAGCGAACAGG